This is a non-coding RNA of Theobroma umbraticum, 177 nucleotides long. Lineage: Eukaryota; Viridiplantae; Streptophyta; Magnoliopsida; Malvales; Malvaceae. The record is from RefSeq and is a predicted model, not a curated record.
CUUUUCCUUAGCUGAAUUCGAUACAUGCAAAAAGUUACCUACUGGAUUUGACAGUUCAAUAUUAAGAGAACUUGGAAAUCAAUCAACUAGUGUGCUGCAUUCUUAUCAUGAUUCAAAUGCUGGCAGAUGUCAAAGCAGCCCAUCUCAUUGCGCAUGGCGAAAUGCUGAGCAAGGACU